GUCUACAUCAUACCACACUGAACAUGCCUGAUCUCUUCUGAUAUCAGAAGCUAAGCAGGGUCAAGGAUGCUUAGUAUUUGGAUGGAAGAAUUAGUGGGAAUACAGGAUGCUAUAAGCC
RNAcentral lists this ribosomal RNA (118 nucleotides) under Mus pahari (shrew mouse). The record is from RNAcentral. Lineage: Eukaryota; Metazoa; Chordata; Mammalia; Rodentia; Muridae.